Molecule: small nuclear RNA, 101 nt
Filed under: Chinchilla lanigera (long-tailed chinchilla)
Lineage: Eukaryota; Metazoa; Chordata; Mammalia; Rodentia; Chinchillidae
Source: RNAcentral
AUGCUGGCUUUGGCAGCACAUAUAUUAAAAUUGUAUAGAGAAGGUUAGCAUGGCCCCUCUGUAAGGAUGACAUGGAAAUUUGUGAAGCAUUCCACAUAAGU